Small nuclear RNA from Saimiri boliviensis boliviensis (Bolivian squirrel monkey), 106 nucleotides. The record is from Ensembl. Lineage: Eukaryota; Metazoa; Chordata; Mammalia; Primates; Cebidae.
GUGCUCUCUUCAGCCGCACAAAUACUAAAAUUGGAAUGAUACAGAGAAGAUUAUCAUGGCCCUUGUACAGGAUGACAUACAAAUUCAUGAAAUAUUCCUGAUUCAU